CCUACGGGAGGCAGCAGUGAGGAAUAUUGGUCAAUGGACGAGAGUCUGAACCAGCCAAGUAGCGUGAAGGAUGCCUGCCCUAUGGGUUGUAAACUUCUUUUAUAUGGGAAUAAAAUGUUCCACGUGUGGGAUUUUGUAUGUACCAUAUGAAUAAGGAUCGGCUAACUCCGUGCCAGCAGCCGCGGUAAUACGGAGGAUCCGAGCGUUAUCCGGAUUUAUUGUGUUUAAAGGGAGCGUAGGUGGAUUGUUAAGUCAGUUGUGAAAGUUUGCGGCUCAACCGUAAAAUUGCAGUUGAAACUGGCAGUCUUGAUAACAGUAGAGGUUGGCGGAAUUCGUGGUGUAGCGGUGAAAUGCUUAGAUAUCACGAAGAACUCCGAUUGCGAAGGCAGCUCACUGGACUGCAACUGACACUGAGGCUCGAAAGUGUGGGUAUCGAACAGGAUUAGAUACCCGUGUAGUC
RNAcentral lists this ribosomal RNA (460 nucleotides) under uncultured bacterium. RNAcentral's name for it is "partial 16S ribosomal RNA". It matches the Rfam family "Bacterial small subunit ribosomal RNA", at positions 338 to 795 of the family's 1533-position model. The record is from RNAcentral.